GACGAACGCUGGCGGCGUGCCUAAUACAUGCAAGUCGAACGCUGAAGAGAGGAGCUUACUCUUCUUGGAUGAGUUGCGAACGGGUGAGUAACGCGUAGGUAACCUGCCUUGUAGCGGGGGAUAACUAUUGGAAACGAUAGCUAAUACCGCAUAACAAUGGAUGCCACAUGUCAUAUAUUUGAAAGGCGCAAUUGCUCUACUACAAGAUGGACCCGCGUUGUAUUAGCUAGUAGGUGAGGUAAUGGCUUACCUAGGCAACGAUACGUAGCCGACCUGAGAGGGUGAUCGGCCACACUGGGACUGAGACACGGCCCAGACUCCUACGGGAGGCAGCAGUAGGGAAUCUUCGGCAAUGGGGGCAAGCCUGACCGAGCACGCCGCGGGAGGUAAGAAGGUUUUCGGAUCGGAAAGCUCUGUUGUAAGGCGAGAACGAAUGGGGGAGGUGAAAAUGCACACUUUGACGGUAGCUUACCAGAAAGCGACGGCUAACUACGUG
RNAcentral lists this ribosomal RNA (496 nucleotides) under uncultured bacterium. RNAcentral's name for it is "partial 16S ribosomal RNA". It matches the Rfam family "Bacterial small subunit ribosomal RNA", at positions 28 to 507 of the family's 1533-position model. The record is from RNAcentral.